CGUCCUCCGCCUCCCCCACCACCGCUGCCGCCGCCCCCUCCUCCUCCGGCCGCCACCGUGCCCCUCCAGCCCCCAGCCGAGGCGGCGCGCCAUUGAUGCAGAAGUGGGCCCCCGCCGACCCCUCCGCGCCCGCGCCCGCCCCCUCCCCGGGCCACGCGCCCUCCACCUCCAUCGAUCGCAUCGUCCACCGCCUUCGCAACCUCGGCCUCGGCACCGACGACGAUGAGCCCUCUCCUCCCCCAUCGUCGCCCCGCUCGACGACAGGGAGCGCCUCGGCGACCUGCUCGACCGCAGCUGGGCGCGCCCCGACCGCCAGUUCGCCGCCUCCGGCCUCGACGAGGCAGUCCUCCCGUGGAGAGGGACCGGGAGAGCGACGGUGAGGAGGCGGACGGGGUCAAGAGGAAGCGGGUCAGGGCGACCUCACUGGCGGAGCUCACCAUGGACGACGUGGAGCUGCGCCGCCUGCAGGGCAUGGGCAUGACUCUCAAGGACCGCAUCACCGUGCCCAAGGUCGGGGUCACGCAGGCCAUCACAGAGAAGAUCCACGACGCCUGGAGGAAGUCCGAGCUGGUCCACCUCAAGUUCCACGAGGACCUCGCCAACGACAUGAAGACUGCCCAUGAGCUUGUCGAGUUCCUUUCAGUCAGCUAAACGUCAAUAUGUUGGAUGAUGUUGUGGAGAGGGCCACCGAGAGGGGGUUUGCAUUGCCAAAGUCGAAGGUGGCCAUUGCCUUGACCUGCCUGGACCUCUUGACCUUUAACAACGCUCAAACAGGAAACACAUGUUGGAGGAGGAGACCACAAGCUAAUUGAUGAUUUGGAUGAGUGGAUCAGAGGACGACAUGAGCAGCUCAAGUCUCUCAACACGCGGAUGGAUGAUGUUGUGGAGAGGGCCAUCGGGAGGGGGUUUGCAUUGCCAAAGUUGAAGGUGGCCAUCGCCUUGACCUGCCUGGACCUCCUGACCUUUCACAACGCUCAAACAGGAAACACAUGUUGGAGGAGGAGACCACAAGCUAAUUGAUGAUUUGGAUGAGUGGAUCAGAGGAUGACAUGAGCAGGUAUUUCCAUUUGAUCAUACCCAAAAUGAUAAUGUAUACCCUAACUUAGGAUGAUGGCUCUUCUACUCUGCUAACAUAACAUGCAUGUGCUUGUGUGGAGUGCCUGCAAAAUUAAUAUCUCAAGUCUCUCAACACGCAGAUGUGGAGAGGGUUCUCCUAGCGGUCAUUGAAACUGUGAUAUGCAUUUCCUUGCUCUCGGCUCUGAUCAAAUUUGUAGCGUCUGGGAAUGUGCACAUGAAAAUCCACAUGACCUUAGCGGACCAUUGCAAUGCGGCAAAUCAAAUUUCAAUACUCAACACUCUUCUAUGUGGAUUAACGAAGGGCAUGACGGAUGGCACUAGCGGAAAGGUGAGCACCGGUGGAGAUAAGCGAGAAAAGGAGUAGCGCGAGGCGGUAGGCAGCCUUGAAGAGGAUGAGUGGGCCCGCUGCUAGGGGAUGGUCCUAGGGAUUUUUGAAUCAACGAGAGCAGUGUCGGCCCAGGCUAUCUAGAAUGAUUGCAUGUAUUAAUGAAGUAGUCCACGUUAGGUGGAUUGGCUCAAAAUGGAGAAGCAUGAUUGUAUUAAGCAUUUAAGCUCUAAGCAAUUUAGAAUGUCAAUGUCUUGGGGCUCCCUUGCAAUAUUUCAGAGAACUAUAUUUUUUCCGACAUUUUAUAUUGCCUCACGAUGUUUGGGGGAUCUGAUUAGGUAUUGUUUCUCUAUAUAAAAAUCCAUCUCUCUAUUUUAGUUGCUAAUAGAAUAAUGAACAAUUGAUAGGACUAAUCUUAUAGACUUGUUUUCUCCUUAAUCCGACUGUGUAUUUUCCAAGUUUUGUGCUGAAACGGGAAAAACAUAUGUUUUAAACUUGCGACAACAUAUUCUGUGCAAAUUUUAGCCUUGUUGUUCACAAUUGAUGCUGCCUGUGAUUCACACUUAUAUUUGAGCUUAAAGUCUGAGUGUAUACCGAAUUAGGCUUUCCCUUCGGUCGAUUUAUGUCAGAGUUCACACUACAACACACAUUUUCUUUUGAGUGUUAUGUGAGUUACUUUUGAACCGAUACACCAAAUCAGGUGUUACACCGCUCAAACAAACUAGAAGAAAAUCAUGAAUGAAUUUAUCACAAUAUUAUAAAAAUACAAAUAAAUGUAUACACAAUUUUUUAACAAUAAAUGUUAUCAAAGAUUGAUGUAUUUACCUCUCCCAAGAUAGUAACAUGUUCUAGAAGAUGUGUUUUGUUGCAGUAGUACCUAAAUGGUGAAUUGCAUGUUCUAGAAUAUAGGCUUUUGCAUAUUGCAAUCAAGUUCUUUUUUUAUGGAAUUGAGUUUCUGGUUGUAACUUGUUCGAACAUUUGUUU
Triticum aestivum (bread wheat) is the source of this 2386-nucleotide long non-coding RNA. RefSeq lists it as uncharacterized. Lineage: Eukaryota; Viridiplantae; Streptophyta; Magnoliopsida; Poales; Poaceae. The transcript has 8 exons. The record is from RefSeq and is a predicted model, not a curated record.